CAGUAGCCGCGGGAAUACAGAGGGUGCGAGCGUUAAUCGGAUUUACUGGGCGUAAAGCGUGCGUAGGCGGCUAAUUGAGUCGGAUGUGAAAUCCCCGAGCUUAACUUGGGAAUUGCAUUCGAUACUGGUUAGCUAGAGUGUGGGAGAGGAUGGUAGAAUUCCAGGUGUAGCGGUGAAAUGCGUAGAGAUCUGGAGGAAUACCGAUGGCGAAGGCAGCCAUCUGGCCUAACACUGACGCUGAGGUACGAAAGCAUGGGGAGCAAACAGGAUUAGAUACCCCUGUAGUCCCUGUCUCUUAUAA
RNAcentral lists this ribosomal RNA (301 nucleotides) under uncultured bacterium. RNAcentral's name for it is "partial 16S ribosomal RNA". It matches the Rfam family "Bacterial small subunit ribosomal RNA", at positions 509 to 809 of the family's 1533-position model. The record is from RNAcentral.